This 268-nucleotide unclassified non-coding RNA is filed under the name Hevea brasiliensis (rubber tree). Lineage: Eukaryota; Viridiplantae; Streptophyta; Magnoliopsida; Malpighiales; Euphorbiaceae. The record is from RNAcentral.
GCUUAAUUAGAAAGUAUAAUGACUUAUUUGGUUUAAAACUUAAUUUUUGGUUUAUUUGACCCUUGAUUGAAAGUACAAGAUCUUAUUUGGUCUUUUUUACCAAACAAAAACCCUAGAAACAGAGAGCUUUAAAUCCUAUUAUUGGGCAGCAUAAAAGGUUAAAUUUUAGCCCUAUCCUAUCAAACGCCAGGGAACCAUUAUGCUCUACAUGUACACAGAAGAAACAGGAACUAUAAGGCUGAUAGAAAUAAACAUAGUUAUUAAAGGC